This 524-nucleotide ribosomal RNA is filed under the name uncultured Bacteroides sp. RNAcentral describes it as "bacterial SSU rRNA". It matches the Rfam family "Bacterial small subunit ribosomal RNA", at positions 68 to 582 of the family's 1533-position model. Lineage: Bacteria; Pseudomonadati; Bacteroidota; Bacteroidia; Bacteroidales; Bacteroidaceae. The record is from RNAcentral.
GGCAUCAGGAAGAAAGCUUGCUUUCUUUGCUGGCGACCGGCGCACGGGUGAGUAACACGUAUCCAACCUGCCCUUUACUCGGGGAUAGCCUUUCGAAAGAAAGAUUAAUACCCGAUAGCAUAAUGAUUCCGCAUGGUUUCAUUAUUAAAGGAUUCCGGUAAAGGAUGGGGAUGCGUUCCAUUAGGUUGUUGGUGAGGUAACGGCUCACCAAGCCUUCGAUGGAUAGGGGUUCUGAGAGGAAGGUCCCCCACAUUGGAACUGAGACACGGUCCAAACUCCUACGGGAGGCAGCAGUGAGGAAUAUUGGUCAAUGGGCGUUAGCCUGAACCAGCCAAGUAGCGUGAAGGAUGAAGGCUCUAUGGGUCGUAAACUUCUUUUAUAUAAGAAUAAAGUGCAGUAUGUAUACUGUUUUGUAUGUAUUAUAUGAAUAAGGAUCGGCUAACUCCGUGCCAGCAGCCGCGGUAAUACGGAGGAUCCGAGCGUUAUCCGGAUUUAUUGGGUUUAAAGGGAGCGUAGGUGGACUG